This 460-nucleotide ribosomal RNA is filed under the name uncultured bacterium. RNAcentral's name for it is "partial 16S ribosomal RNA". It matches the Rfam family "Bacterial small subunit ribosomal RNA", at positions 338 to 795 of the family's 1533-position model. The record is from RNAcentral.
CCUACGGGUGGCAGCAGUGAGGAAUAUUGGUCAAUGGGCGGAAGCCUGAACCAGCCAAGUCGCGUGCAGGAUGACGGCCCUACGGGUUGUAAACUGCUUUUAUACGGGAAUAACGCGCCUUACGUGUAGGGCUUUGCAUGUACCGUAUGAAUAAGGACCGGCUAAUUCCGUGCAAGCAGCCGCGGUAAUACGGGAGGUCCGGGCGUUAUCCGGAUUUAUUGGGUUUAAAGGGAGCGUAGGCCGGAUGUCAAGUGUGCGGUGAAAGGUUCGGGCUCAACCCGGGCCUUGCAGCGGAAACUGGCGGGCUUGAGUGCGCGUGAAGCAGGCGGAAUUCGUCGUGUAGCGGUGAAAUGCUGAGAUAUGACGAAGAACCCCGAUUGCGAAGGCAGCUUGCUGCAGCGGAACUGACGCUGAUGCUCGAAAGCGCGGGUAUCGAACAGGAUUAGAUACCCCAGUAGUC